GGGCGAUGAUGAACAAUAACAUAUCUCGAUGCUUACGAUUCACUAAUGUGUUUCGUUGGUGACAAGCAUUUGUGCGUGUCUGAGCCCU
Molecule: non-coding RNA, 88 nt
Organism: Picea glauca (white spruce)
Lineage: Eukaryota; Viridiplantae; Streptophyta; Pinopsida; Pinales; Pinaceae
Source: Rfam